CAAUAUCAUCUGAUAUACCAAAGGAGAUUCUCAAAACCCAACCCGAGAUCUUGGAGAUCACCCCGUGCUUAUGAGCAAGCCAGUGAACAACCGUGUAGUCAUCAACGUAUUUCUCUAGUAGCCUUAACCACAAGUAAAUUUCACCUUCUCCACCUCUCACCGGAUCUUCUACCAACGGAGACAAGACUUCUAAAAUGAUUUCUUUGUUUGUCACAAGAUCUUUCACUUGUUUUGUCACCCACUCUGCCCCCGUUUCUAAUGAGUAUAGAGCUAGCUAGAUACUACAAAAGUUUUGAAGCACAGACUGGUAUAUUAUUGUCAUUUUGGGAUUUUAUUCGAUUCCAUUCACUUCUCUCCGGUUCUUCCACAAAUUUUUGCCACUCUUAAUUCUUCCACAAAUUUUUGCUCUUUAAUAACUGUAAGAUUAUUCUUUGCUCUCUGAGUUUUAAUUUGUUAAUUCAUUUAUUCCUUAUUUUGUUAGAUUUGGUAAUUAAAUUGUUUGGUUGAUUUUAAUUUACUGGUUGAUUGUUAGAAUUGUUGGUAUCAUUGUUUGAAUGUUGAUUAUUUGUGCAUAUUAAGUGUUUGUAAAAAUUGGUGUGAGAUGCUUAAUUGUUAUUAUGGUCUUGUCUUUCAUUGUUGAUAUUAUUGACUCUGAGAAUUACAACCACGACAACAAGGGUUGGAAUAAAAUGCUGAAGUGGAUCAAAAACACCAGGUAAUGAAAUUUCGGGAGCAAAUGUAUAUGUGUUUCUCAAAUAAGUUGGAACAUGUAAGGCUGGAGCUUCAGAUGAUUUUCAAGCAAUUGGUGAAGAGAGAGGAGCCUUCACUUGAUAAUUGCUUGAGAGAUAAUAGAUUCUGUGGGAUUUCAAAUUCCUUUGUCAAGCGCAAUGUUGAUGGAACUUCUGUAAGCAUUGUUAAUGUAUAGCCCAAAGUUCAGGGAUCCCACAACCGUCUAAAAGUAAUUCUACAAGUCAAAUCAAUUUGGUUCCGCCACUUCAACAAAAUAAAAUUGUUCACUGUAAUUUAUUGUUUACUUAAUCUUUUUAGUUCAAAAUUUGAAACUAAGCCCAAGAGACCUCAUUAUUACUUAGUUAAUGCCAAGUAGUAAAGAGAAGAUAACAUUUUUCUA
Long non-coding RNA from Mangifera indica (mango), 1129 nucleotides. RefSeq lists it as uncharacterized. Lineage: Eukaryota; Viridiplantae; Streptophyta; Magnoliopsida; Sapindales; Anacardiaceae. The record is from RefSeq and is a predicted model, not a curated record. The transcript is spliced from 2 exons.